RNAcentral lists this ribosomal RNA (504 nucleotides) under uncultured bacterium. RNAcentral's name for it is "bacterial SSU rRNA". It matches the Rfam family "Bacterial small subunit ribosomal RNA", at positions 15 to 518 of the family's 1533-position model. The record is from RNAcentral.
GAUUCUGGCUCAGGAUGAACGCUGGCGGCGUGCUUAACACAUGCAAGUCGAACGAAGCAGUUUAUCACGAUCCCUUCGGGGUGACGAUUACUGACUGAGUGGCGGACGGGUGAGUAACGCGUGGGUAACCUGCCUUGUACAGGGGGACAACAGUUGGAAACGACUGCUAAUACCGCAUAAGCGCACGGAAUCGCAUGAUUUUGUGUGAAAAGAUUUAUCGGUACAAGAUGGACCCGCGUCUGAUUAGCUAGUUGGUGAGGUAAUGGCCCACCAAGGCGACGAUCAGUAGCCGACCUGAGAGGGUGACCGGCCACAUUGGGACUGAGACACGGCCCAAACUCCUACGGGAGGCAGCAGUGGGGAAUAUUGCACAAUGGGCGCAAGCCUGAUGCAGCCGACGCCGCGUGAGCGAAGAAGUAUUUCGGUAUGUAAAGCUCUAUCAGCAGGGAAGAUAAUGACGGUACCUGAUUAAGAAGCACCGGCUAAAUACGUGCCAGCCGCAGC